This 329-nucleotide ribosomal RNA is filed under the name uncultured eukaryote. RNAcentral's name for it is "partial 18S ribosomal RNA". It matches the Rfam family "Eukaryotic small subunit ribosomal RNA", at positions 1470 to 1796 of the family's 1831-position model. The record is from RNAcentral.
CCCUUAGAUGUUCUGGGCCGCACGCGCGCUACACUGACGAAUGCAACGAGCUUAUAACCUUGGCCGAAAGGUCUGGGUAAUCUCCAAAUUUCGUCGUGAUGGGGAUAGAUUAUUGCAACUAUUAAUCUUCAACGAGGAAUGCCUAGUAAGCGCGAAUCAUCAGUUCGCGUUGAUUACGUCCCUGCCCUUUGUACACACCGCCCGUCGCUCCUACCGAUUGAAUGGUCCGGUGAAAAUUUCGGAUACCGGCGUUGCUGGCGGUUCGCCGCCGGCGACGCUGGUAGAAGAUCUUUAAACCUUAUCAUUUAGAGGAAGGAGAAGUCGUAACA